GGACUCUGGAUUCCUGGAUUCUGCACAACUGGUCCAUGGUCGUGAAAUCCAGAACAAACUGGUCCUGGUUUCUGGAUUCCUGGGUUUGUGUCUCCAGAUGAAUCCUCACCUUUGUCAAAGAACAGCCAUUUGGGUUUCCUGGGUCUCUUGUGGUAUUUUGGCAUGUCCACUUUUAAAAGUUCCCGGUCAGCAGAUUUCAGUUCCAAUCAUGGCGGCUCUUGCGCCACUGAUCUCAAAAGAAAAUCGGUGGAACGUGCUCUCAGAACCAGGCACAUAUGUCCCAGGCGAGAAAAAUGGAUCAGUUGAAAAGGAAAUAUAUUCUCCCUGGUUCCAAUAAAAUGGAGAUUCCAACAAGAACAAAGCAAUGGGAAAAGCACUGACAGAGGCCAACAAAAUUGAGAUUCAUCAGUCAAUCCAGGAUCUGCCAAGAGCCCAUAACAGUUCUGAGGUCUGGAGCCCCCUUAGUGGACUAUAUUAAUAAAGUCUAUCAGGAACUACAGAAGAAGUCGAUAUAACUGAGGACGAUUCUGAAGCUUGGGCUCCAUUCAGUUGACAACAAAGUGUGUCAGGAGCAGAAGUUUCUGUCAAUGUCUCUAGCCCUACUGGCUUCUGUGUUUGACUUUCACUGAAGUCACUUAAAAACUGUAAGUUAAUCAAAACUUUUUAUUCUUACACAUCAGAACCUGAAUCACAGUUCCUCUGACCACAACUCUGACAAUGGCUCUAAAGAUGCACACAGUGUUGGUGACAUUACCAUAAGUACAAUGUGCUUUCAACUUGGCAAUGAUCUGAGAACAGGUUACCAUAACCUUAACCAAACUGUUUUAUUUAUGUAACUUUAACCUUUAAUCUCAUCUUUACCUGUUUUGCCUGCAUUGCUUAACUCCUUACACUAAAAUGUUACCUUUAAUUUCCUCUUAACUAUUUUCAUAUGUAUCUGCUAGUUGCAGCUUCAUUCACAAACUACACACUUAUAGUAAAAUAUUCAAAGCCAAGAUGCCAUUGUUUUAUGGCUACAGCAUUACAUCAAAUAAUAAAUAUCUACAUGUCUUGUGCAUCAUUUCAUACACAUUUCCCUGUAAUUCAGCACUAUUUGGUAUCUUUGGAAACCUUGAGAUCUCCCCUAAAAUUUAAAAGAAAGUUCUGUGGGUUUAAACAAAGCUUAGCUGCACAGCGAUGACGAACCAAACAACUGGACAAGCAAGUCUGAAUUAACCCUUAACACUUACCUUAAACCAAGGAUUAAAUGAUUGAGUCAACUCUGUUUUCAUGUGAAAAAAACUGAAUAGUGAACAGGGCAAAGGGGAUCUUCGCACUAUAUUGUUGUUUUAUAGCCUAUGUAGGCUAACACAUUUAUUGUUUUUAUCCUUAUUUGUUUUAAAUUAUUCAGGAGAAGAAGUCUCUAUAUGUACCAGUUAUAAUGUGUGUAGAUGAUGCAAUGCAUGCUUCAGUAAAAGCAAAGCAUAAGCCUUUUCUUGUGUGAAUGUGUGUGAUGAAGUUGUUUAAUUUUAAAAUUAGUAAAGACUUGAUCAUUGUUCUCAACAAACAGAACUUGAUGGGCCAUGAUGUUGAAAACUCUGAAGAUGCUCAUGAUGCCCAACACAUGUAUACAAGUAUAAGUAUAUGAAUGGGUUAGUUUCAUAGAUGCUAUAUGUAAGUCACAGUUUUAUUUCAGCAGACUGAGUUUUACAAAUAAGACAUUCUGUUUUGUCACACACCAGAACUUGGAUCAGUUAAAAUCAGGUUCUAUUGAUCAGAUUUAGUCAGAAUUAGUCAUUCAGGAUCAUUGCCUUUGUCCCACUUAGCUGGUUGAAGAUUUAAAAAAUCCAAAUUCACAAGCUGCCUGCUUUUUGCAUCUAAAUUAGUAUUAGUUUUAGUCUCAUGUCCUAAAAACCCAGGUAGUUCCUCUGAAAUGUUAAUUUCCUAUGUUGCAAAAUGAAUUUGUUAAAUGUUUGUGGGGGUAUAUGGAUCACAAUUUUUAUGUCUAUGUUUAAUGCAUUUCUAUUUUUUAUUGUUUUUGUCUCUUAUGUAAUUUUCAAAUAAUAUUUCUGAUCAGAAUUGACCUUUUCUUUUCUCCCUAUAGAUAUCCUGUAGAUAUCCUACAUCCCCACUCUUAUUUAAAGAUGAAUAUUACACAGUGUGAGAUCUUCACUUCAGUGAUCUACCAAAUUUGAGCCCAGCAUCAGAGUCAUCAAAUAACUUCAUUCCUGAUAACUUGGAUUACAGUGUUGGUAUCGGUGUGUUUGAACCAAGGCAGUCUUUUACUGACUCUGACUCUGAAUCCAUUCUUGGCAGUGGAGAACAAUUUUCCCUUGUAUAUGAAGACAAUACUGAUAAGUCAGUAAAUGGGGGAUCACAUUUGGGAGAAGUCACUAAUGAAAAGGUUCCUCAGGUAAAUGAACAGCCACUUUACACUGGUUCAUGACCAACCAAAGCUCAGAGUUUUUGACUUACACUCUUAUUUGUUUUGACACACACAUUCACGUUGCCCUCUCUGAUCUGAUAGAUUAGAUUAAUAUCCACUGUCCAGAAAACACACUGUCAACCUCAAAGCAUCUGUUCUUAAAAGAGCUUAACUCAAUACAAGGUCACCUACAAUGUCACAUAUACUGUCCAAACUGUGAGUAUUACAUUGGUGAAAAGGUUAGUGAAGGGCAGUGUACUGUAUGCAACACAUGGGAUAAAAACAGCUCACUGAAGAAUGGAAACUUCUUCAUAUACUUACUAAUCCAAACACAGUUGGAACAUCUUCAAAGAGAAGAUAAUGAAUGUUGUCUCAAGUCAGAAAAUGGCACAUGCAAUUCUGAAAAUUAUGAUGAUAUAUGUAAUGGUAAAAUGCAUCAUAAUCUGAACAAAAAUGGAGGUCUGCUUGAUCGUCCUCAUGGAUAAUCCACUCUACACUCAACUGCAAUGUUGUGCCUGUAUUUAAAUGAUCACUGUAUAGUAUUUGGCCAUAACAAGGAAUUGUGCACGAGUUUCCUUACCCUGUGCGCAAAGAAAAUGUUUUACUUUUUGUCUUGUGAUUUGGCAAUAAAAAGCCAAACAUUAGUACAUUUUUAAAGCCAUUCACUAUAGAGUGUCAGAGGUUGUCAACUGUGGGCUUUAAGUUAAAAAGAAACAGCAUUUUGGAACAAUGUAGACUUGUGGCAGCUCUUAUGAUGUGUGAUUCAGUUGCCAGGCCCAUACUAUAAAACAUGACCCAGAUGCAGCCACUGCCUACUGUGGUGGAAAACUGCCUUUCCAUGAUCAAACGAAUAUGCCAGUGAGAGUGUAAAGAUAGCAUUAUGCCAGUAAGAGACAGUUCCCAAGGAGUUAGCAAGACGGUUAACCUGUGGUAUAGCAAUUUGAUUUUCUGUGUGAAAUGAUUAAAGGCCGCAAGGUCCAUUUUAAGUGUGAGAAAAAGAUGGAAGAUGCUGACGCAGUAAUUUCUGAGUCACACUUGUAUUAUCACCAAAGCAUCAAGGUCACUCAUGAACUCAGAAAUAAUGACCAGAUGUAUGCAUUUAAUUAAAAAUGAGGCGGAGACUAGAAACUAAGCUCCACAGUAGGAGGAGUUAUGAAAAGUAUAUAAUAUGAGGUUUCAUGAUUUUGCAUCAGGUUUUUCUUUGUCCCGGGACAAAG
This is a long non-coding RNA of Thunnus maccoyii (southern bluefin tuna), 3621 nucleotides long. RefSeq lists it as uncharacterized. NCBI's taxonomy places the organism in Eukaryota, Metazoa, Chordata, Actinopteri, Scombriformes, Scombridae. The transcript has 7 exons. The record is from RefSeq and is a predicted model, not a curated record.